Non-coding RNA from Histoplasma capsulatum G186AR, 124 nucleotides. The record is from the annotation of a RefSeq genome assembly. Lineage: Eukaryota; Fungi; Ascomycota; Eurotiomycetes; Onygenales; Ajellomycetaceae.
UAAAUUUUAAUUUACAAUAAUAAUAUAUUUAUAUUUAUAAAUUAUUAUUAUUUAGUUUGUUAUUAAUUAUAUUUUAUAUUUAUUCAGUUAUUAUUGUAUUAAAUUCGAAUUUUAUAAAAUUUAA